Molecule: ribosomal RNA, 301 nt
Filed under: uncultured bacterium
Lineage: Bacteria
Description: partial 16S ribosomal RNA
Rfam family: Bacterial small subunit ribosomal RNA
Source: RNAcentral
CAGUAGCCGCGGUAAUACGUAGGGCGCGAGCGUCAAUCGGAAUUACUGGGCGUAAAGCGUGCGCAGGCGGUUGUGUAAGACAGGUGUGAAAUCCCCGGGCUUAACCUGGGAACUGCGCUUGUGACUGCACAGCUAGAGUAUGGCAGAGGGGGGUGGAAUUCCACGUGUAGCAGUGAAAUGCGUAGAGAUGUGGAGGAACACCGAUGGCGAGGGCAGCCCCCUGGGCCAAUACUGACGCUCAUGCACGAAAGCGUGGGGAGCAAACAGGAUUAGAUACCCCUGUAGUCCCUGUCUCUUAUAC